Molecule: ribosomal RNA, 377 nt
Filed under: uncultured bacterium
Lineage: Bacteria
Description: bacterial SSU rRNA
Rfam family: Bacterial small subunit ribosomal RNA
Source: RNAcentral
UAAUACGGAGGGUGCAAGCGUUGUUCGGAAUUACUGGGCGUAAAGCGCGUGUAGGUGGUCGAGUAAGUCGAAUGUGAAAGCCCCGGGCUCAACCCGGGAAGUGCAUCCGAAACUGCUCGACUAGAGUCCCGGAGAGGAAGGCAGAAUUCCCAAUGUAGGGGUGAAAUCCGUAGAUAUUGGGAGGAAUACCGGUGGCGAAGGCGGCCUUCUGGACGGUGACUGACACUCAGACGCGAAAGCGUGGGGAGCAAACAGGAUUAGAUACCCUGGUAGUCCACGCUGUAAACGUUGCGAACUAGGUGUCGGGGGUAUUCACCCCUCCGGUGCCGAAGCUAACGUCUUAAGUUCGCCGCCUGGGAAGUACGGCCGCAAGGCUA